RNAcentral lists this transfer RNA (75 nucleotides) under Trachelipus rathkii. RNAcentral describes it as "tRNA-Leu". Lineage: Eukaryota; Metazoa; Arthropoda; Malacostraca; Isopoda; Trachelipodidae. The record is from RNAcentral.
AACUUUUUAACUCUAAGCAGCAAUUGAGUGUAAAGGAGUUARAAUCCUUAAAAGGUAGAGACCUUAAAAGAUACC